GCCUGGCUGGCUCACUUAGAAGAGCAUGGGACUCUUAAUCUUGGGAUCAUGGGUUUGAACCCCAUGUUGGAUG
Molecule: transfer RNA, 73 nt
Filed under: Canis lupus familiaris (dog)
Lineage: Eukaryota; Metazoa; Chordata; Mammalia; Carnivora; Canidae
Also listed under: 1 other name
Rfam family: tRNA
About the family: Transfer RNA (tRNA) molecules are approximately 80 nucleotides in length. Their secondary structure includes four short double-helical elements and three loops (D, anti-codon, and T loops). Further hydrogen bonds mediate the characteristic L-shaped molecular structure. tRNAs have two regions of fundamental functional importance: the anti-codon, which is responsible for specific mRNA codon recognition, and the 3' end, to which the tRNAs corresponding amino acid is attached (by aminoacyl-tRNA synthetases). tRNAs cope with the degeneracy of the genetic code in two manners: having more than one tRNA (with a specific anti-codon) for a particular amino acid; and 'wobble' base-pairing, i.e. permitting non-standard base-pairing at the 3rd anti-codon position.
Source: Rfam by way of RNAcentral